Molecule: long non-coding RNA, 219 nt
Filed under: Gossypium barbadense (sea-island cotton)
Lineage: Eukaryota; Viridiplantae; Streptophyta; Magnoliopsida; Malvales; Malvaceae
Description: long non-coding RNA (GBAR_LNC020603)
Source: RNAcentral
UCCGUAGAUGAAACAACCGGACUACAAAAUAGGAAGGUGCCAUAGAGAAAUCAAUAACCAUGGCAAAGAGAACACAAACAACAAAAGCAAAAAUCAGUCUGUUGAUAUGAAGGAGUGAGUUGGAGAUUGAGGAUGGUUCACCUUGCCUCCCUGAGAGCCGAGAGCCUUACAAGGAAGCUUGGUUGGUGGUAGAAAGCCUUCAAGAGAAUGAUAACAGUG